UUUUUUAAGCUGCAGAAAAAUAUAUAGCAGAGGUGUGUGCCUCACUAAGGUCACCUGCCUCUCAGUGAUUGAGGUACCAGGGGCUUUAACAACUGUAUUAAACUUCAAAAUAUAUUUUGGACCUAGAAUUCAAUUUAGCCUAGUAAAGAAAGGUAGGCACCCACUUUGAGAAUUCGAAUUAAAUUAUAUGCUUAUGGCAUACCCCUAAAAAAAUGAGAUAUGUCAAUGAGGAGUUGACAUAUUCACAGAUUGGUUUUUCCCCUUUACUUAAUUUCUAUAUGGGCAAAUAUUCAUUCCAAUUUCUUGAAUAUAAUAAUCAGUUUUAUUUUGAGAAGUUCUGUUAAAAGUGAGGAACAAAUUUCACAAGAUUGCGGGAAAUGGAGAAUUUGAACAAGGAGAAUUCACUUGGAUUGAUAUUGCAAAUUCAGUUACAACCCUUCUUCUGCAAUUACGUUAAUUCUUCUUACUGCCAAACCAAAAUACAACUCACAAACAUAAAAGAAAAGAAAAGAAAUAACCCAGAAGAUAAGUUCUCCCAAGCAAGAAACACAGAGCUUGCCCCAGCAGUACUGCCAAAAUAAUUCUUUAGUAAAUUCUUCACUGCCACCCUUCUCAGAUUCUUCCUAUUUCAAUCUUUCCAACCUCAGCUCCCAUUCUGUUAGUUUCUCCACUCCAGGUGUACUCUGUGAGAUUCACUCCAACAGAAUUUGGCAUCUAUUUCCACCAAGUAUGACAGCAGAUGAAUUGGCUACAGAAUCUUCUGAUCUCUCUUUUUGUUCCUUCUGUAGUAUACCUGAGGCUGACCUUCUCCUUCACCAACAUUUUUUGGGCUUUUAGCUGAAUUCAUAACAAUGUGUGGACAAUUGUACUGAAGUAGCCCUAACAUUAUGCAGAAUAACGUGUGUGUUUGUGUUGUUUUGGGUAGAGGGUUCAGCGAUUGGAUUUUUCUUUCCUUUAGGGCGGGGUGGGGAGGUGGGUUGCACCCGUCUUCUUGUUUCGUUUGAGAACAAGCAUAUUAUCACUAGUAUAUUAUUAAUAUGAUUUAUGGACUAUGUAUGAAUUGCCACGAUUGUCCAUGAUUAUCUGCAGGCAGAGUUUUGUUGAUGUUGGGAAAAGUGCAGUUUGAACUUCAAAAACUUGUUGAUAGCUAUGUGAGUGCUAGCUGUUUCAUUGUAAUUGUACGAUGCUUUUUGAGAUAAUUAUGGACUAAUACCUUCAAUUGAUCCUGGUUCUAACUUACUGUUGUUGGUAAUUCAGAGGUCUCAUAUAUUUUUGACAAUUACAAAUCCAUCGGAGUCUCUUCUCAAUGAACUUCGGACAGUUGAGGAUAUGAAGCGACAAUGCGACGAAAAAAGAAAAGUCUAUGAAUACAUGGUGGCACAACAGAAAGAAAAAGGAAAGUCAAAGAGUGGGAAAAGUGAAAGUUUUUCUUUGCAGAAACUGCGAACAGCUCAUGAUGAAUAUGAUGAAGAGGCAACCCUGUGUGUUUUCCGGUUGAAAUCUCUGAAACAAGGACAGUCUCGAAGUCUUCUAACACAGGCAGCUCGUCACCAUGCAGCUCAGUUGAAUUUCUUUAGGAAGGGACUUAAAUCACUUGAGGCUGUUGAUCAACAUGUAAAAUUUGUUACAGACCAACAACAUAUUGAUUAUCAAUUCUGUGGGCUUGAAGAAGAUGGUAGGGAAGAUGGUGAAGAUGAUGAGGAUGGUGAUGAUACAAAUGGAGGGAGGGAACUGAGCUUUGACUACAGAGCAAAUAAGCAGGGGCAUGAUGUUGUUUAUGCGUCUAGUAAUUCAAUGGAGGUAAGGAUGUAAAUGUAAUAUUAAUAGGAAAUAUUUUAGGUUUAUAAGAAGAUCCACUGUGCUUAAUUUAUUUAUCAUUUUCUAUGCCUAACCUUCCUGAAGUACCAUCCCAUCCCUUCGUAUUCUUUUUUUUUUCUUUUUUAUUGCUUUGUGAUUUACAUGUUACUCCUGUUAUGUCUUGAAAUUUUAUGAAUGCCUUAUUGGUGAGCUUGUAACAAACUGCCAUCCUUCCUUUAUUUUUAUAUUUUGAGAUAUUCUUCUUUCUGUAAUAAUGAUUUACAUUACUGUAUAGGAAGAGUUUAUCAAAGUAUUAUUAUUAUCGUUGCUGCUGUUGUUGCACUUUUAUUCUUUUACACGAAUUACUCUUACAUAAGAUUAUAGUAGCUUGUGAUUGAGUCUUAGUUGGAUGGAGUAUAUAUUACUAUCUUGUAAAAUGUCCUGUUGAAUCUUCCUUCAUGAACUUGUUAAAUAACUUGGUAUUUUGGGCAGUUUGGUGUUUCACUUGAAUCAAAAUGAGCAGUACUAUUAGCUGGCUUUUAAUUAUGUUAAUGGCUAUGGACUUGUCCUAUUGUUGAAUGAAAUUAUUAACUUAUUUUGUGGAAGGGUAGACGCCUAUCAUAAUUGUAAUGUGCUUCCUUUAUAGAAGAGUAUGAAGGGGUGGACCUUUGUUUGAAGAAGGGACUGUUCUCAUAAUAGUAAUGGAAGUGCAUUGUGUAAAAGAAUGGAUAUCUUUCUUAAGAGAAAGAACAAGUCUUUCAAUAAUGGAAGAAUCAAACCUGAAGAGCCAAAUCUUCCAAGUUAAAGGAGCCAUAAUUUGUAAUGGGGCAUUUCUGGAUAUUUUGCUUUAUUUCUGACUUUUUUAACCAACUUUGUUUUUGGUGUUGACAUGGCUGCCUAUUAUCCAGGUGGAUGAUGUUGACUUGUCAUUUCCUCAAGCUUCAAUGACAGAAAGUGCAGAGUUAAAUCCAGACAAAAACCAAGGGAGUUUCCAGAUCUCAUUUAGGGAACAUCGACCAGGAAGCCAUUCUGCACCAAUAUUUCCCGAAAGAAAACCUGAUCCAGUUGAAAAAAUGAGACAAAUGCAAUCAUCUGUAAGGAAGUCCAACACAUAUGUGCUGCCCACACCUAUUGAUGCUAAGGGUGCAAUCUCGUCAAGAACAAGUGGUUCACUUAUCCAG
This 2978-nucleotide unclassified non-coding RNA is filed under the name Hevea brasiliensis (rubber tree). Lineage: Eukaryota; Viridiplantae; Streptophyta; Magnoliopsida; Malpighiales; Euphorbiaceae. The record is from RNAcentral.